UUGAUCGCGGCCAUUCUGUUUCCAGCACGCUGGCGGCAGGCCUAACACAUGCAAGUCGAGCGGUAGCACAGAGAGCUUGCUCUCGGGUGACGAGCGGCGGACGGGUGAGUAAUGUCUGGGAAACUGCCUGAUGGAGGGGGAUAACUACUGGAAACGGUAGCUAAUACCGCAUAAUGUCGCAAGACCAAAGUGGGGGACCUUCGGGCCUCAUGCCAUCAGAUGUGCCCAGAUGGGAUUAGCUAGUAGGUGGGGUAACGGCUCACCUAGGCGACGAUCCCUAGCUGGUCUGAGAGGAUGACCAGCCACACUGGAACUGAGACACGGUCCAGACUCCUACGGGAGGCAGCAGUGGGGAAUAUUGCACAAUGGGCGCAAGCCUGAUGCAGCCAUGCCGCGUGUGUGAAGAAGGCCUUCGGGUUGUAAAGCACUUUCAGCGGGGAGGAAGGCGUUAAGGUUAAUAACCUUGUCGAUUGACGUUACCCGCAGAAGAAGCACCGGCUAACUCCGUGCCAGCAGCCGCGGUAAUACGGAGGGUGCAAGCGUUAAUCGGAAUUACUGGGCGUAAAGCGCACGCAGGCGGUCUGUCAAGUCGGAUGUGAAAUCCCCGGGCUCAACCUGGGAACUGCAUUCGAAACUGGCAGGCUAGAGUCUUGUAGAGGGGGGUAGAAUUCCAGGUGUAGCGGUGAAAUGCGUAGAGAUCUGGAGGAAUACCGGUGGCGAAGGCGGCCCCCUGGACAAAGACUGACGCUCAGGUGCGAAAGCGUGGGGAGCAAACAGGAUUAGAUACCCUGGUAGUCCACGCCGUAAACGAUGUCGAUUUGGAGGUUGUGCCCUUGAGGCGUGGCUUCCGGAGCUAACGCGUUAAAUCGACCGCCUGGGGAGUACGGCCGCAAGGUUAAAACUCAAAUGAAUUGACGGGGGCCCGCACAAGCGGUGGAGCAUGUGGUUUAAUUCGAUGCAACGCGAAGAACCUUACCUGGUCUUGACAUCCACAGAACUUUCCAGAGAUGGAUUGGUGCCUUCGGGAACUGUGAGACAGGUGCUGCAUGGCUGUCGUCAGCUCGUGUUGUGAAAUGUUGGGUUAAGUCCCGCAACGAGCGCAACCCUUAUCCUUUGUUGCCAGCGGUCCGGCCGGGAACUCAAAGGAGACUGCCAGUGAUAAACUGGAGGAAGGUGGGGAUGACGUCAAGUCAUCAUGGCCCUUACGACCAGGGCUACACACGUGCUACAAUGGCAUAUACAAAGAGAAGCGACCUCGCGAGAGCAAGCGGACCUCAUAAAGUAUGUCGUAGUCCGGAUUGGAGUCUGCAACUCGACUCCAUGAAGUCGGAAUCGCUAGUAAUCGUAGAUCAGAAUGCUACGGUGAAUACGUUCCCGGGCCUUGUACACACCGCCCGUCACACCAUGGGAGUGGGUUGCAAAAGAAGUAGGUAGCUUAACCUUCGGGAGGGCGCUUACCACUUUGUGAUUCAUGACUGGGGUGAAGUCGUAACAAGGUAACCGUAGGGGAACCUGCGGUUGGAUCACCUCCUUA
Molecule: ribosomal RNA, 1534 nt
Filed under: Klebsiella pneumoniae
Lineage: Bacteria; Pseudomonadati; Pseudomonadota; Gammaproteobacteria; Enterobacterales; Enterobacteriaceae
Description: bacterial SSU rRNA
Rfam family: Bacterial small subunit ribosomal RNA
Source: RNAcentral